UACGGGAGGCAGCAGUGGGGAAUAUUGGGCAAUGGGCGAAAGCCUGACCCAGCAACGCCGCGUGAAGGAUGAAGGUUUUCGGAUUGUAAACUUCUUUGACUGAGGACGACAAAAGGACGGUACUCAGAAAACAAGCCACGGCUAACUACGUGCCAGCAGCCGCGGUAAU
This 169-nucleotide ribosomal RNA is filed under the name uncultured rumen bacterium. RNAcentral describes it as "partial 16S ribosomal RNA". It matches the Rfam family "Bacterial small subunit ribosomal RNA", at positions 340 to 524 of the family's 1533-position model. The record is from RNAcentral.